Molecule: long non-coding RNA, 562 nt
Organism: Hemiscyllium ocellatum (epaulette shark)
Lineage: Eukaryota; Metazoa; Chordata; Chondrichthyes; Orectolobiformes; Hemiscylliidae
Exons: 3
Source: RefSeq, a predicted model, not a curated record
CCUCCUCCUCCUCCUAGCCGCCAGACUGAGCCGGGGGCGGGAGGGGGGGUCUCCGUGAAACUUCACUCCCCCCGCUGGCUGGGCAACAGGCCGACCACUGAUUUCCCUGGGGGGGGCAUUGAGCCCUGAGGGGAAUUACAGGCUUUCAGUAAGUCCUUUGGUAAUGGAAUGUUUAAUCCUUGAGUGCCCAAUGUGCCCUGAAAGAGAAGUAAAGGAUGGAACUGACCCCACUGUGGCAUUUUAACUUUCUCAGAAGUGUCCUGAGCAGGGGAGAUAAGCUUGGCUGCUCCCAACACUGCAUGAAGAUUCAAAAGCUGCCUACCUAAAUCUCCCACACCAACUUCCGGAAGCCCAAAGAGUAGUUGUCUUAGGGUGAACUUAGAAAGUAACCCGGUUUGGUGGUUCUGGAAAAGCAGCCAAGGAGUCCAUAUUUAUACCUGUGAAACAAUGCAUCAUGAAAACUGUUUGAGUAAUCUGGCCAGUUUUGUUAUUUUCUUUCUCUUAACUGUAUUUGUCUUGUUUUGUAUGAAUUGUGGUUGAAAAGAAAUACUUCAGGCUUAAA